Molecule: ribosomal RNA, 592 nt
Filed under: Melophagus ovinus
Lineage: Eukaryota; Metazoa; Arthropoda; Insecta; Diptera; Hippoboscidae
Description: SSU rRNA
Rfam family: Eukaryotic small subunit ribosomal RNA
Source: RNAcentral
ACAUUAUCUUUACAGGACUAUUGGAGGGCAAGUUCUGGUGCCAGCAGCCGCGGUAACUCCAGCUCCAAUAGCGUAUAUUAAUGUUGUUGCGGUUAAAACGUUCGUAGUUGAACUUGUGCUUCAUACGGGUAGUACAACUAUAAUUUUAGAUUGUGCUAUACCUUAUGUAUGUAAGCGUAUUACCGGUGGGGUUCUUAUAUGCAAAUGUAAUACUUGUAUUCUUUUGUAUAUUCCUCCUAUUUAAACCUGCCUCAAUGCUCUUCAUCGGGUGUUGUUGCGGGCCGGUACAAUUACUUUGAACAAAUUAGAGUGCUUAAAGCAGGCUCCAAAUGCCUGAAUAUUUUGUGCAUGGAAUAAUGGAAUAAGACCUCUGUUCUACUUUCAUUGGUUUUUAGAUCAAGAGGUAAUGAUUAAUAGAAGCAGUUUGGGGGCAUUAGUAUUACGACGCGAGAGGUGAAAUUCUUGGACCGUCGUAAGACUAACUUAAGCGAAAGCAUUUGCCAAAGAUGUUUUCAUUAAUCAAGAACGAAAGUUAGAGGUUCGAAGGCGAUCAGAUACCGCCCUAGUUCUAACCAUAAACGAUGGCCAGCUA